UAAAUUUUACGAAUAUUUAAAAUCAGAAAAAGUACAAUAGUGAUAGUAUCAUUUUGUUGACGGAUAUUUGUUUAAGCAUUUUAGCUCAUAUUUUGAAAUAUUAGUUUAUUUUCGAAUUAAUUAUUUUACUUUGUUAGUCUUAAGAAGCUUGUUAAUUUUGGUUAAUUCGUCUUAUUUAAUCAAAUUGACCGUCUACAAUUUUAUUUUGACUAAAAUGGCAGCAUUUAAGCUAAAAGACUAAAUUUGGGCCUCCCAUAGAUUUUCCGCAGCCCAAAUCUCUAUCCCCAGCCCAAUUCCCUCACAAUCCAACUAAAAUAUAAAAAUCCAGCUCACCUUUUCCUUCUUCUAGCCCAACCCUUUUACUCCCAUUCAGCUAAGCCCAACAGCGCAACCUGACCCAUCCGCCUCUUCUUCCAUUUUAACGUGUGAGAAACGCGUGACGAGACAACUAUUCGCCCCAUCAUCACGACGUUUUGCUAGACGACAAUGUCAAAGGCUAUGCGAGAGAGAAGCUCUAGAUGAUGUUGAUACACGGCGUCAACGUGAAAGCUGCUAUCGUCCCUCUCUCUUCGUUCCGUCUUCUGUAUCAACUUUGGGCGAAUCUCUGCAUAUUUUGUACGUUUUCAGCAAGAAAUGUGUCUUUCGCAGGAGAGGUGGAGUGAUCUCCGAAAUUUGUUGUCCUUCGCUCAAGAUCGGACGGUUCUCGUCCCUUUCCAUUGGGAAAUUGUACACGGUUCAUACAAAAUUCCAGCCUGCUCGUCGUGGCCAGGGAUUUAAAUUUCGAAAUGGCACAUGGAAUCCAUUGCCCAAAACUUGUCAAGAAUUUUCCACGCUAUCCCUAUCUGAGCCCUAAUUUUUCCUCCUAUAAAUAUCCCUUUCUCCACCUUGUUGAGAGGUUGGGGAAAAUUUGGGGUCAGGAUUUUGUGGAAGUAUCUGAAAUUUUUUGUUCGAGCUGCUCCUUCUAGUCCAAAAUACAGAGAGGCAUUUCAAAGUUUAGCUAAAAAAAACUUUUUUACAGAAGUCUUGUGAAACUUGUUCUUCAUUUAGCAGCAUAGUUCAAGAGUCGAAAGACAAAUAUUUUCGGGGUUACUUGGAUUUUUUAUGUUCGUGUUCAAACUUAGUGGUGGGAAAGAUCGUCGCUCUGUUCGUGUCGUCCAUGUUCGCUGCACCUCCGAAGGUACAAAAGAAAAGUGGCUUGAAAACUCAAAAAGUCGAACGGAUCAAAAUCAAAAACAGGAGGGCCCAAAUACCGGUCCAGGCAGACAGAUAACCCGGGUUGGACCCAAUCUCUCCCUCUCUCUCUCUCCCUAUCUACCUCCCUUUGUAUUAUCGUCUAUUUGCUUAUAUAUAUGUGCUAUUAUAUUUAAAGUUAAAAGAAUUCAAUCCCCGUA
Long non-coding RNA from Solanum pennellii, 1391 nucleotides. RefSeq lists it as uncharacterized. The record is from RefSeq and is a predicted model, not a curated record. Lineage: Eukaryota; Viridiplantae; Streptophyta; Magnoliopsida; Solanales; Solanaceae. The transcript is spliced from 2 exons.